RNAcentral lists this ribosomal RNA (625 nucleotides) under Salmonella enterica subsp. enterica serovar Infantis. RNAcentral's name for it is "partial 23S ribosomal RNA". It matches the Rfam family "Bacterial large subunit ribosomal RNA", at positions 2178 to 2802 of the family's 2925-position model. RNAcentral also lists the same sequence under 2 other names. Lineage: Bacteria; Pseudomonadati; Pseudomonadota; Gammaproteobacteria; Enterobacterales; Enterobacteriaceae. The record is from RNAcentral.
GCGUGGAGCCGACCUUGAAAUACCACCCUUUAAUGUUUGAUGUUCUAACGUGGAUCCGUAAUCCGGGUUGCGGACAGUGUCUGGUGGGUAGUUUGACUGGGGCGGUCUCCUCCUAAAGAGUAACGGAGGAGCACGAAGGUUGGCUAAUCCUGGUCGGACAUCAGGAGGUUAGUGCAAUGGCAUAAGCCAGCUUGACUGCGAGCGUGACGGCGCGAGCAGGUGCGAAAGCAGGUCAUAGUGAUCCGGUGGUUCUGAAUGGAAGGGCCAUCGCUCAACGGAUAAAAGGUACUCCGGGGAUAACAGGCUGAUACCGCCCAAGAGUUCAUAUCGACGGCGGUGUUUGGCACCUCGAUGUCGGCUCAUCACAUCCUGGGGCUGAAGUAGGUCCCAAGGGUAUGGCUGUUCGCCAUUUAAAGUGGUACGCGAGCUGGGUUUAGAACGUCGUGAGACAGUUCGGUCCCUAUCUGCCGUGGGCGCUGGAGAACUGAGGGGGGCUGCUCCUAGUACGAGAGGACCGGAGUGGACGCAUCACUGGUGUUCGGGUUGUCAUGCCAAUGGCACUGCCCGGUAGCUAAAUGCGGAAGAGAUAAGUGCUGAAAGCAUCUAAGCACGAAACUUGCCCCGA